CCUCUCGUAGCCCAAUUGGCAGAGGCAGUAGUCUAAGAAGCUACACAGUGCAGGUUCGAAUCCAGCCGAGAGGACCA
Molecule: transfer RNA, 77 nt
Filed under: Pseudomonadota bacterium
Lineage: Bacteria; Pseudomonadati; Pseudomonadota
Description: Proteobacteria bacterium (marine metagenome) tRNA-Leu
Rfam family: tRNA
About the family: Transfer RNA (tRNA) molecules are approximately 80 nucleotides in length. Their secondary structure includes four short double-helical elements and three loops (D, anti-codon, and T loops).
Source: RNAcentral